UACGUAGGGGGCUAGCGUUGUCCGGAUUUAUUGGGCGUAAAGAGCGUGUAGGCGGCCAGGUAGGUCUGCUGUGAAAACUCGAGGCUCAACCUCGAGACGUCGGCGGAAACCAUCUGGCUAGAGUCCGGAAGAGGAGAGUGGAAUUCCUGGUGUAGCGGUGAAAUGCGUAGAUAUCAAGUGGAACACCAGUGGCGAAGGCGAGUCUCUGGACAUUUCCUGACGCUGAGGCACGAAAGCCAGGGGAGCAAACGGG
Molecule: ribosomal RNA, 253 nt
Filed under: uncultured bacterium
Lineage: Bacteria
Description: partial 16S ribosomal RNA
Rfam family: Bacterial small subunit ribosomal RNA
Source: RNAcentral